UCUAAUACCGGAUACUGACCACUGGGGGCAUCUUCAGUGGUCGAAAGCUCCGGCGGUGCAGGAUGAGCCCGCGGCCUAUCAGCUUGUUGGUGAGGUAGUGGCUCACCAAGGCGACGACGGG
Molecule: ribosomal RNA, 121 nt
Filed under: Streptomyces arenae
Lineage: Bacteria; Bacillati; Actinomycetota; Actinomycetes; Kitasatosporales; Streptomycetaceae
Description: partial 16S rRNA
Rfam family: Bacterial small subunit ribosomal RNA
Source: RNAcentral